Molecule: transfer RNA, 85 nt
Filed under: Crocuta crocuta (spotted hyena)
Lineage: Eukaryota; Metazoa; Chordata; Mammalia; Carnivora; Hyaenidae
Also listed under: 3 other names
Rfam family: tRNA
About the family: Transfer RNA (tRNA) molecules are approximately 80 nucleotides in length.
Source: Rfam by way of RNAcentral
GCCUGGGUGGCUCAGUCGGUUGAGCGUCCGACUUCGGCUCAGGUCAUGAUCUCACGGUUCGUGGGUUCGAGCCCCACGUCGGGCU